GAUGAAGAACGUAGUGAAAUGCGAUAAGUAAUGUGAAUUGCAGAAUUCAGUGAAUCAUCGAAUCUUUGAACGCACAUUGCGCCCCCUGGUAUUCCGGAGGGCAUGCCUGUUCGAGCGUCAUUUCACCACUCAAGCCUCGCUUGGUAUUGGGCAACGCGGUCCGCCGCGUGCCUCAAAUCGACCGGCUGGGUCUUCUGUCCCCUAAGCGUUGUGGAAACUAUUCGCUAAAGGGUGUUCGGGAGGCUACGCCGUAAAACAACCCCAUUUCUAAGGUUGACCUCGGAUCAGGUAGGGAUACCCGCUGAACUUAAGCAUAUCAAUAAGCGGAGGA
Molecule: unclassified non-coding RNA, 331 nt
Filed under: soil metagenome
Description: partial contains 5.8S ribosomal RNA, internal transcribed spacer 2, and large subunit ribosomal RNA
Rfam family: 5.8S ribosomal RNA (bases 1-120)
Source: RNAcentral